RNAcentral lists this long non-coding RNA (522 nucleotides) under Mytilus galloprovincialis (Mediterranean mussel). Lineage: Eukaryota; Metazoa; Mollusca; Bivalvia; Mytilida; Mytilidae. The record is from RNAcentral.
UGAACCAUGUAAAUGAGGUCAAGGUCAGAUGACACCUGCCAGUUGGACAUGUACACCUUACAGUCCUUCCAUACACCGAAUAUACUACCCCUAUUGCUUAUAGUAUCUGAGAUAUGGACUUGACCACCAAAACUUAACCUUGUUCACUGAUCCAUGAAAUGAGGUCGAGGUCAAGUGAAAACUGUCUGACAGACACGAGGACCUUGCAAGGUACGCACAUAUCAAAUAUAGUUAUCCUAUUACUUAUAAUAAGAGAGAAUUCAACUUUACAAAAAAUUUGAACUUUUUUUUCAAGUGGUCACUGAACCAUGAAAAUGAGGUCAAGGACAUUGGACAUGUGACUGACGGAAACUUCGUAACAUGAAGCAUCUAUAUAAAAAGUAUGAAGCCUCCAGGUCUUCCACCUUCUAAAAUAUAAAGCUUUUAAGAAGUGAUCUAACGCCGCCGCCGUAGCCGCCGCCGCCGUAGCCGCCGCCGCCGGAUCACUAUCCCUAUGUCGAGCUUUCUGCAACAAAAGUUGCA